ACACUCACACGUUCUGUUUUUGCAGAAAAAAACUUUCCUUUUUCAUUAUCCACACACAUCCACAGAGAUACAGAAAAGAGCAAACAGUGCAAAACAUGGGCGUUGGUCACUUCUAUACAAUAUUUACAUUGCUCAAAUCCCUCAGGCAGGGAAAAGCCAGCCCAGGGUUUUCUUAGGAACUGGACAGUUUUCUUGGAAAACAUAUGCCAAGUGAUCCCAAAAAGAAACCACCCCACUCCUUGCUUGUCCCAGUGGUUUAGGGGUGUGAAUGUCCUGGUGUUUUGCAUGGAAAUUAAAUUUAAGAAUUAAAAUCAAGGACAGCCAGCUGUGUUAAAUGUUAGUCUUAAGUGAUGUUAAAGUGUUAGUUUGAAGUGAUGUUUUCCAGAGGGGAAAAACAGGAACAGCUCCAUGUUUUGUUGUGAAAUGUGAACAUUUUAUAGGGCUUAAAAUCACUGUUUUAAAUCCUGGAAUGGUUUGGGUUGGAAUUGGCCUUAAAGACCUGGGCAGGGACACCUCCCACUAUCCCAGGUUGCUCCAAGCCCCAUCCAGCCUGGCCUGGGACACUUCAGGGAUUUGACAUCGGGCAGAACGAGCCUUUAAACACAGCCAGGUCCUGACAGAGCAAACAGGAAAGGGAGAACAUUCCCAUGAUUGUACCCAGAGAAAAGGAGCUUUGGGCACUCUUGUGGGAAGCAAAGAUGUCCUGGGUAGAUCUUCCUCACCUGCUUGAACCUCCCACAAACCUGAAUUUCUCCAAGUGGCAUCUCCAUGGCGCAGAAUUUCAGGGAAAUUCAGGAGAUAUGUACAAAUGUCACAACAGCAUGAGAGGGAAUGGCCCCAGGUUGUGCCAGGGGACGUUUAGAUCGGAUAUCAGGAAAAAUUCUUUCACCAAAAGGGUUGUCAAGUGCUGAAACAGCAAAGUGAUGGGGUGUCCAUCCCUGGAAGAGUUCAGAAAAUGUGUGGAUGUGACACUUGGGGACAUGGAUUUGUGGUGAACAUGGUAGGGCUGGGUUGAUGGUUGGACUUGAUGAUCUUGGAGGUCUUUCCAACCUUAAUUCCAUGAUUCUAGGGGUGAUUUAUGGUCCUUGGAGUGUCAGAGGGCACACACACAGCUCAGACCAGCCUGGGCUCUGGGGUCAGCCUGGGGGCAGCAUUCAGAAAUAAAAAUUACAGC
Molecule: long non-coding RNA, 1174 nt
Organism: Passer montanus (Eurasian tree sparrow)
Lineage: Eukaryota; Metazoa; Chordata; Aves; Passeriformes; Passeridae
Exons: 2
Source: RefSeq, a predicted model, not a curated record